Non-coding RNA from Boeremia exigua, 81 nucleotides. Lineage: Eukaryota; Fungi; Ascomycota; Dothideomycetes; Pleosporales; Didymellaceae. The record is from the annotation of a RefSeq genome assembly.
ACUAACAUCCACAAGUGGCUAGGAUACAUCGCUCUCAUAGCAAGCGCCGAUGUGGCCGGGGUUCGAUUCCCCGUGACGGAA